This 395-nucleotide unclassified non-coding RNA is filed under the name soil metagenome. Its description in RNAcentral is "partial contains 5.8S ribosomal RNA, internal transcribed spacer 2, and large subunit ribosomal RNA". The stretch from base 1 to 120 matches the Rfam family "5.8S ribosomal RNA", at positions 35 to 154 of the family's 154-position model. The record is from RNAcentral.
GAUGAAGAACGUAGCGAAAUGCGAUAAGUAAUGUGAAUUGCAGAAUUCAGUGAAUCAUCGAAUCUUUGAACGCACCUUGCGCCUUUUGGUAUUCCGAAAGGCACACCUGUUUGAGCGUCAUGAAUACCUCAAUCUCCAUCUUUUCUUCGGAUUGAUGGGUGACUUGGAUGUUGAGCCCUGCUGGUAUGCUAUAUCAGCUGGCUUUAAACUUAUUAGCCGGCUCUGUACUGGAUCGGUUUGACUCGACGUGAUAAUAUUAUCGUUGAGGAUGCAUGUCUCAUGCAGCCGGAAAGUAUCAAAGCAGCUUCUAGCUUGCCUUUAGUGAACUUUUACAUUUUAGACCUCAGAUCAGGUGGGACUACCCGCUGAACUUAAGCAUAUCAAUAAGCGGAGGA